AUGAACGCUGGCGGCGUGCCUAAUACAUGCCAGUCGCGCGAACAGACGAGGAGCUUGCUCCUCUGACGUUAGCGGCGGACGGGUGAGUAACACGUGGAUAACCUACCUAUAAGACUGGGAUAACUUCGGGAAACCGGAGCUAAUACCGGAUAAUAUAUUGAACCGCAUGGUUCAAUAGUGAAAGACGGUUUUGCUGUAACUUAUAGAUGGAUCCGCGCCGCAUUAGCUAGUUGGUAAGGUAACGGCAUACCAAGGCAACGAUGCGUAGCCGACCUGAGAGGGUGAUCGGCCACACUGGAACUGAGACACGGUCCAGACUCCUACGGGAGGCAGCAGUAGGGAAUCUUCCGCAAUGGGCGAAAGCCUGACGGAGCAACGCCGCGUGAGUGAUGAAGGUCUUCGGAUCGUAAAACUCUGUUAUUAGGGAAGAACAAAUGUGUAAGUAACUAUGCACGUCUUGACGGUACCUAAUCAGAAAGCCACGGCUAACUACGUG
RNAcentral lists this ribosomal RNA (496 nucleotides) under uncultured bacterium. RNAcentral's name for it is "partial 16S ribosomal RNA". It matches the Rfam family "Bacterial small subunit ribosomal RNA", at positions 29 to 507 of the family's 1533-position model. The record is from RNAcentral.